This 69-nucleotide transfer RNA is filed under the name uncultured Alistipes sp. It matches the Rfam family "tRNA". Rfam says of the family: Transfer RNA (tRNA) molecules are approximately 80 nucleotides in length. Their secondary structure includes four short double-helical elements and three loops (D, anti-codon, and T loops). The record is from RNAcentral. Lineage: Bacteria; Pseudomonadati; Bacteroidota; Bacteroidia; Bacteroidales; Rikenellaceae.
CGGAAAUAGCUCAGUUGGUAGAGCAUCAGCUUCCCAAGCUGAGGGUCGCGGGUUCGAAUCCCGUUUGCC